AUCCCCGGAGCGGUUCACGGAUGCGGCCUUGAGAGAGCAACGUGUUGUCGAGACCGUCUGCCUGGUUACCUCUUCAGGCAUUUUCAGUCAGCCUGGUCCAAGACUCCAUGCAGGAAUUGACAAAGCAGCCUAGAUAGCCCAGCUUCCUUGGCUGAAAGACUUAUAAUCAGCCAAAAGGAUCAGCCUCGGCAAGACUCUUCCUCAUGCAGCAUCCACUAAGGGACCCUGCUUCGCUAACAGAUCAUUCCUGGGAGAUGAUUCCUCCUUCUUCCUCGUUUCUUCUGGGUCCAGGGUGCAGAGGUACCGUGUGAGGACAGGCAGGCAGGUAGCAGAAGGACAAUGCAGAAGGGCAAGAAACUCAGAAAUGAAAACAAACACAGUAAACUACACACUUAAGGACAGAAGGAGAAAAUUCUUCACCUGUUGGCUCAUUUUAGCAAAAAUCAACUCCUUUGAUUCAAGAAUGUUUGGUUUGUACCACUGCCCUUGAAAUUCUAGUGCCUGUCUCGUGAGAUUUACUUCUACAGCUCUUUACUAACUUGCUUUAUUACUUUGAACCAGAAAGUUAGAGAAGAGAAACUAAACUACAUAGGAGAAGUGAAUUAGAAGGCCUAGCAACAUUAAUUGUGCAAACAGUAUCCGCCACCUGCCUGAGCGUUUGCCUAGCACUUUCACAGAAGUGACUGCUUCUUAUGAACACCCUUUUUUCCUAGAGGAGGUAAUUUAUUAGAAAAGGAUUCUGAUUUUCG
Molecule: long non-coding RNA, 749 nt
Filed under: Equus caballus (horse)
Lineage: Eukaryota; Metazoa; Chordata; Mammalia; Perissodactyla; Equidae
Description: lncRNA (ENSECAG00000031548.3)
Source: RNAcentral